GACUCUGGGAUAAGCGCUGGAAACGGCGUCUAAUACUGGAUAUGAGCCCCUAUCGCAUGGUGGGGGUUGGAAAGAUUUUUUGGUCUGGGAUGGGCUCGCGGCCUAUCAGCUUGUUGGUGAGGUAAUGGCUCACCAAGGCGUCGACGGGUAGCCGGCCUGAGAGGGUGACCGGCCACACUGGGACUGAGACACGGCCCAGACUCCUACGGGAGGCAGCAGUGGGGAAUAUUGCACAAUGGGCGAAAGCCUGAUGCAGCAACGCCGCGUGAGGGAUGACGGCCUUCGGGUUGUAAACCUCUUUUAGCAGGGAAGAAGCGAAAGUGACGGUACCUGCAGAAAAAGCGCCGGCUAACUACGUGCCAGCAGCCGCGGUAAUACGUAGGGCGCAAGCGUUAUCCGGAAUUAUUGGGCGUAAAGAGCUCGUAGGCGGUUUGUCGCGUCUGCUGUGAAAUCCCGAGGCUCAACCUCGGGCCUGCAGUGGGUACGGGCAGACUAGAGUGCGGUAGGGGAGAUUGGAAUUCCUGGUGUAGCGGUGGAAUGCGCAGAUAUCAGGAGGAACACCGAUGGCGAAGGCAGAUCUCUGGGCCGUAACUGACGCUG
Molecule: ribosomal RNA, 600 nt
Filed under: Microbacterium sp. MY-CA97
Lineage: Bacteria; Bacillati; Actinomycetota; Actinomycetes; Micrococcales; Microbacteriaceae
Description: bacterial SSU rRNA
Rfam family: Bacterial small subunit ribosomal RNA
Source: RNAcentral